This is a long non-coding RNA of Nomascus leucogenys (northern white-cheeked gibbon), 347 nucleotides long. RefSeq lists it as uncharacterized. The transcript has 4 exons. NCBI's taxonomy places the organism in Eukaryota, Metazoa, Chordata, Mammalia, Primates, Hylobatidae. The record is from RefSeq and is a predicted model, not a curated record.
CGGGCAGGAGCUCAUGUUCCGGUUUGGGCGUCUUGUAGCCUUGGACCCAGGGAGGAGCUGAUGUUCCGGUUGGAGGGUCUUACAGCCGCAGACCCGAGGAGGAGCUGAUGUUCCGGUUUGGGGGUCUUGCAGCCGCAGACCUGGGGAGGAGCUGAUGUUCCGGUUUGAGAGUCGUGCAGCCGCAGUCCCGGGAAGGAGCUGAUGUUCCGGUUUGAGGGUCGUGCAGCCGCUGACCCGGGGAGGGGAUGAUGUUCCGGUUCGAGGGUCCUGCAGGCAGAGACCCAGGGAGGAGCUCAUAUUCCGGUUUGAGGGUCGUGCAGCCGCAGACCCAGGGAAGAGCUGAUGUU